RNAcentral lists this ribosomal RNA (465 nucleotides) under uncultured bacterium. Its description in RNAcentral is "partial 16S ribosomal RNA". It matches the Rfam family "Bacterial small subunit ribosomal RNA", at positions 28 to 507 of the family's 1533-position model. The record is from RNAcentral.
GACGAACGCUGGCGGCGUGCUUAACACAUGCAAGUCGAACGGAAAGGCCCUGCUUGCAGGGUCCUCGAGUGGCGAACGGGGGAGUAACACGAGGGUGAUCUGCCCUGCACUUUGGGAGAAGCCUGGGAAAGUGGGUGUAAUACAGGACAGGAGCCAUUCUCAGUGUGAAGGUUGGAGAGUUUUUUCGGUGUAGGAUGAGCUCGCGGCCUAUCAGCUUGUGGGUGGGGUAAUGGCCUACCAAGGCGGCGGCGGGUAGCCGGCCUGUGGGGGUGGACGGCCACAUUGGGACUGAGAUACGGCCCAGACUCCGACGAGUGGCAGCAGUGGGGAAUAUUGCACAAUGGGCGCAAGCCUGAUGCAGCGACGCCGCGUGUGGGAUGACGGCCUUCGGGUUGUAAACUCCUUUCGCGAGGAACGAAGCUUUUUGUGACGGUACCUAGAUAAGAAGCACCGGCUAACUACGUG